This 126-nucleotide transfer RNA is filed under the name Lachnellula subtilissima. It matches the Rfam family "tRNA". From Rfam's summary of the family: Transfer RNA (tRNA) molecules are approximately 80 nucleotides in length. Their secondary structure includes four short double-helical elements and three loops (D, anti-codon, and T loops). Further hydrogen bonds mediate the characteristic L-shaped molecular structure. tRNAs have two regions of fundamental functional importance: the anti-codon, which is responsible for specific mRNA codon recognition, and the 3' end, to which the tRNAs corresponding amino acid is attached (by aminoacyl-tRNA synthetases). tRNAs cope with the degeneracy of the genetic code in two manners: having more than one tRNA (with a specific anti-codon) for a particular amino acid; and 'wobble' base-pairing, i.e. permitting non-standard base-pairing at the 3rd anti-codon position. The record is from Rfam by way of RNAcentral. Lineage: Eukaryota; Fungi; Ascomycota; Leotiomycetes; Helotiales; Lachnaceae.
GGGCUUGUGGUUUAGUGGUAUAAUACUCCCUUAGCAUGGGAGUGGUCCGUCAGUACUUCUCUUCCUUUGAUAAUAUUAGUUUGUCUUCUAACAAUUUCACAGAGGGUUCGAUUCCCUGCAAGUCCA